Molecule: ribosomal RNA, 253 nt
Filed under: uncultured bacterium
Lineage: Bacteria
Description: partial 16S ribosomal RNA
Rfam family: Bacterial small subunit ribosomal RNA
Source: RNAcentral
UACGUAGGGGGCGAGCGUUGUCCGGAAUUACUGGGUGUAAAGGGCGUGUAGGCGGGAAGACAAGUCAGAUGUGAAAUACCGUGGCUUAACCACGGGGCUGCAUCUGAAACUGUUUUUCUUGAGUGUCGGAGAGGAAAGUGGAAUUCCCAGUGUAGCGGUGAAAUGCGUAGAUAUUGGGAGGAACACCAGUGGCGAAGACGACUUUCUGGACGAUAACUGACGCUGAGGCGCGAAAGCGUGGGGAGCAAACAGG